AACGAACGCUGGCGGCAUGCCUAACACAUGCAAGUCGAACGAGACCUUCGGGUCUAGUGGCGCACGGGUGCGUAACGCGUGGGAACCUGCCCUUAGGUUCGGAAUAACUCCCCGAAAGGGGUGCUAAUACCAGAUAAUGUCUUCGGACCAAAGAUUUAUCGCCUUUGGAUGGGCCCGCGUUGGAUUAGCUAGUUGGUAGGGUAAAAGCCUACCAAGGCGACGAUCCAUAGCUGGUCUGAGAGGAUGAUCAGCCACACUGGGACUGAGACACGGCCCAGACUCCUACGGGAGGCAGCAGUGGGGAAUAUUGGACAAUGGGCGAAAGCCUGAUCCAGCAAUGCCGCGUGAGUGAUGAAGGCCUUAGGGUUGUAAAGCUCUUUUACCCGGGAUGAUAAUGACAGUACCGGGAGAAUAAGCGCCGGCUAACUCCGUG
This 433-nucleotide ribosomal RNA is filed under the name uncultured bacterium. RNAcentral's name for it is "partial 16S ribosomal RNA". It matches the Rfam family "Bacterial small subunit ribosomal RNA", at positions 29 to 507 of the family's 1533-position model. The record is from RNAcentral.